UUUCCUUGUUUAGGAAGACAAGACUAGUUCCUUUCUGUUCUAAAAAUACUGGCAUUGGCAAUAAAAUAUGAGUUCUCCAGGGAUGAAACCACUGUGGAAUCUUCCGGCAUUAAUAAAUCAGUCUUCAUCAUACAGACCUACAGCUGGGGAUCUGUGAACCCUAUUAUGGGAGCUCUUAAAAACGUGCCAAAGUCAAGAAAAACUGAAGCAGCACAGAAGCAAACAUUUCUCUUGUUCUUUCAGCUAUUUGUAGGAAGAGCAGUUCCAAUUCUGCGACAUCAGACUGGUCAGUAUACUUAAUGCCAUUAUAGUAAUUAAGGCUGGCAGCUUGUAAGGUCAAACAGAGGUAGCUGUGUAACAGCAAUACCCCAGCUGAAAAUUAGUGACAUUUUAUUCUCCAAAUUGUUGUCU
Molecule: long non-coding RNA, 411 nt
Filed under: Pogona vitticeps (central bearded dragon)
Lineage: Eukaryota; Metazoa; Chordata; Lepidosauria; Squamata; Agamidae
Description: lncRNA (ENSPVIG00000002288.1)
Source: RNAcentral